This 163-nucleotide long non-coding RNA is filed under the name Dermacentor andersoni. RNAcentral's name for it is "uncharacterized LOC126523305". Lineage: Eukaryota; Metazoa; Arthropoda; Arachnida; Ixodida; Ixodidae. The record is from RNAcentral.
GGUCAGGAGGCUCAUUAUCAGGCGGAAUAUGACGACAACCACUGCUCCACCGGACUCUUUUGACCUGACAUCCAUUGCCCGCUUUUUCUCUCAACUUGCAACGGUGGAGUAUUUCUACGCCAGGAUGGGCAUCACCGUCAUAGCGGCCAUCGUUAAGGUGAAC